GGGUAGAAAAGGUUUUUUGAGUUAUAAUGGAAAUUGAAAAUUUAGAAGAUAUAUACAAAUACUGGUUUUCCUUACUGUAUAAAGGAAGAUCAACCCUUAUCUCCAACGAAGCAGGGCUAAUGGACUGACAGUAACCAAUGUUGGCAUUUCAAUCAUCUUUGAUGAGUACGUUAAUAAGAAGGUUAGAUAAACACCCAUGCUUUAGAGUAAAUGGCUCACUCAUGAUUUUCAGUCUUUUCGGUCUAUUAACCUUUCAGCUGACACUAGUUUGCUUUUGUGACCAG
RNAcentral lists this long non-coding RNA (284 nucleotides) under Mustela putorius furo (domestic ferret). RNAcentral's name for it is "lncRNA (ENSMPUG00000028413.1)". The record is from RNAcentral. Lineage: Eukaryota; Metazoa; Chordata; Mammalia; Carnivora; Mustelidae.